GGCAAGAUCCGAGGAAGCUAUGACGAUAAUAGUACAGUCUUUAACGCGCGUUACGGGGCGGAGAGAUAAUGGCCGCGCGGAAUGAGAGGCCGCGCGAGUAAUAAACCGGGAAUAGAGGGUACAAUAAAAAGGCAGCGAGAUAGAGACAACAAUGUUCCGAGAGAAGAUGAAGCAACCGAAGGAAGCUAACGAGAGAGAUAAAAUAGGAUCGCGGGCGAAGUGGAAGGAUUAGGACUUCCUCGUCGCAGCACAUCUGCAUCGUUGGACCUGGCCAGAUAAGCGGAACAAGCGAAGAAAACACCGUGGACCACCAUAAUUUCUCGCGCAGAAAAAACGUCGGAAAAAAUAGUUCGCGAUGCGCGCGUCGAAUAAAGCGCAAUAAACUGUAAAUAAUAAAUAACAAAGCAUAUAAUAAAUAAUAAAGCAUCGAUUUAACUAUACGCGUUCGAUCGUCCGAAAUAUUUAGCGGAAUGAAACGACAACGGUUUUUCGGUGUUCUCGAUUAUCCACGCAAAAAAAAAACGAAAACAAAAGAAUGAUUAACACGAUUUAAUUCGCGGAGGAUCAACGAGAUUCGUUCGAACAUUUUUUCGCGGUUAUUCGCGGCCCGGUUUUUCUAGGUUAAGCCGCAAUUGAAGUUCAAUUGGCAGAACGGCACCCCGAAUGCGUAGAAAUAAUGUUCAUUCUACGCAAUCGGCGCGUCCACCGUAAUCGCGGUUUACCUGCCGAAGGAUCCAAAUCAAAAGCGAUCGCGGCGUCGCUCUACCGUGAAAGAUGCAAAUAUCCCAGUGUGCCGCUUCGUUGCCCAAGUUAUUCGAUUGUCUUUGUUUUUCUUUUAAUCACGCGUUAGUCGAUCGAAGGCGGGCCGGUGAUUGUUCGACGAAGAGAAAUUUUCUGAUAAUAUUCGGCAGGAGAGAGCAGAGUUGUGUGGAAUCGCGA
This is an RNA transcript of Megalopta genalis, 939 nucleotides long. RefSeq lists it as uncharacterized. The record is from RefSeq and is a predicted model, not a curated record. NCBI's taxonomy places the organism in Eukaryota, Metazoa, Arthropoda, Insecta, Hymenoptera, Halictidae.